UCAUUUACUCAGACACAUUUGUUUCUCACUCUCUACUCCGGCGACCCACUCGUCUCCGACCACCAUAUCAGCUACGGAGAUCUUCUCAGUGGCGUCAGUGAGCUCUUUGUUCUUCCUUGUGUUCGUGAAUCCCGCACUGAAUCUCUCUCGUUGUGAACUGUUCGUGAAUCUCAUUGAACUUUUCGCGAUUGAACGAAGUUUCGCGUCUGUUCUGUUUGCGAUUGAACGAAGUUUUGUGCUGAUUUUUGAGAAAUAUGUUAAGGAUUGGAUUGCAAUUCUGCACCAUUCUAGGUGAAUUUGGAUACUGUUUCUAACAAUGGUUAGCACUUUCAUGGUUGCACUGAUUGUAUUAAACAAUGCUACGGCUCGACACCGCCAUUCAAGUGUAGAGAUGGACAUUCAACCAAUGUUCCAAUUAUAAGGUAUAGGAUUGAUGUUGAGGUCUGCCAUGGCAAUGAUUUAGCCAAGCUGAAGAGUUGGGUAAAGAACCCACAGUGGACGAGGUCUUUCUAAGAACUCAUAUUCGUAAGAAGGACACAUCUUGGGUUGAUCUUAGAUCUCAAAACACUUAUUUUUCAGAUUAAGUUGAAUCGGGCCUCAGAAGGUGCGGAUGAGAGUGACUCCCAAUUGGUCAACUCGGUGACUCGUUUAAAGAUGUGGGCCCAAUCAGCUGGGGGGAAAAUUGAGGACGUCUCUAUGGUGUUGGAGAUAGGUCCUCGAAUUAUAGACCAGGUGUUUCAAGUGUUGCCCCAGACACACUUGAGGAGCGAGCAAAGGCAACAGAGGAUGAGGUUCGAAAUACAAGGAAGGAACUUAAGCAAGCCGAGCUUAAGCGACAAAAGGAAGUUCAGCAGUCAGAGCAGCGUGCUGCAGAUUUCCCGAGGCAGCUGAUAAUGUUGACAAACAGUGUAGCUGCCAUACAGGUUAUGAUGAGGAUGAGUCCGAGGAUGUAUCUGAGGAUGAUGACAAUGAGGAAAAUUGGUAUUUAGUGUGUGUUGUUAUUAUGACUUCAUUUUAUGCUUAGAUUAUUAAUGGUGCAUUUUGUUAUUACGACUGAUUAAGCUUAAACUAACGGCUAUAUCUUUUGUCCAAACUACUAGUUUCUUAUCUGUUUAUUUUGACACUUGUAAUAGUGUCAAUUUUUGUUAACACUGCAUUUUAGUUUGAGGAAAUGAUCUUUUGAUGACUCAAUUUAAUUAGUUUUGAAUUUAGUUAUUGUUUAGUUUGUUUGGAAUUGGUUCUUAUGUUGGAUGACA
Molecule: long non-coding RNA, 1256 nt
Organism: Trifolium pratense (red clover)
Lineage: Eukaryota; Viridiplantae; Streptophyta; Magnoliopsida; Fabales; Fabaceae
Exons: 6
Source: RefSeq, a predicted model, not a curated record